RNAcentral lists this ribosomal RNA (250 nucleotides) under uncultured bacterium. RNAcentral's name for it is "partial 16S ribosomal RNA". It matches the Rfam family "Bacterial small subunit ribosomal RNA", at positions 807 to 1058 of the family's 1533-position model. The record is from RNAcentral.
CGAUGCACACUAGGUGUGGGGGGUAUCGAGCCCCUCCGUGCCGUAGUUAACACAGUAAGUGUGCCACCUGGGGAGUACGGCCGCAAGGUUAAAACUCAAAGGAAUUGACGGGGGCCCGCACAAGCAGCGGAGCGUGUGGUUUAAUUCGAUGCAACGCGAAGAACCUUACCUAGACUUGACAUGACCCGGAAAGGCCUGGAAACAGGUCCCUCUUCGGACCGGGCCACAGAUGUUGCAUGGCUGUCGUCAG